GGAAAUUCUUAGUCUUUACAAUAGCAUGAUUUGAAAAAGAGGAUUCCGGGAGCCAGGGAAAAUGAUGUAUGGAGUCUAUGUGAUGGGUCAUCAGAGUCGGAGAAGAGGUGAAAUCGGUCUGUUAAUCCAUUGUCUGGUGUUCAAAUACAAUUGCCACAUCAAAAUACCACCAAACAUUAUCAAUCCAUCAAGACUUUACAACCAUGGACCUUUAUACAUAAAGCAGUUCUGACAGCUAAUUCUUAUCGAUACGUCUGAU
Molecule: unclassified non-coding RNA, 259 nt
Filed under: Hevea brasiliensis (rubber tree)
Lineage: Eukaryota; Viridiplantae; Streptophyta; Magnoliopsida; Malpighiales; Euphorbiaceae
Source: RNAcentral